GCGUGAGUGAAGAAGGCCUUCGGGUUGUAAAGCUCUUUUGCCAGGGACGAUAAUGACGGUACCUGGAGAAUAAGCCCCGGCUAACUUCGUGCCAGCAGCCGCGGUAAUACGAAGGGGGCUAGCGUUGUUCGGAAUCACUGGGCGUAAAGCGCACGUAGGCGGCUUCUCAAGUUAGGGGUGAAAGCCUGGGGCUUAACCUCAGAACUGCCCUUAAGACUGGGAGGCUUGAAUCCGGGAGAGGUUGGUGGAAUUCCGAGUGUAGAGGUGAAAUUCGU
RNAcentral lists this ribosomal RNA (275 nucleotides) under uncultured bacterium. RNAcentral describes it as "partial 16S ribosomal RNA". It matches the Rfam family "Bacterial small subunit ribosomal RNA", at positions 399 to 691 of the family's 1533-position model. The record is from RNAcentral.